Molecule: long non-coding RNA, 581 nt
Organism: Astyanax mexicanus (Mexican tetra)
Lineage: Eukaryota; Metazoa; Chordata; Actinopteri; Characiformes; Acestrorhamphidae
Exons: 2
Source: RefSeq, a predicted model, not a curated record
UUGAGUGGAUGUGUUGUGUGGGUGAGGGAUUGAUUGUGUAUAUGUAUUGGAACUGUUUUACUUACCUGGUUAAUUCCCUUGUGACCUAUUAGUUGGGAAGUUGGGUCUGGUGGAUGUUGGGGAAUAUAUGGGGGUGGCCAACCUGUGCUGGGACGCUGUACGCCACCAAUUACCCUAGCCAGUGGCCGGGUGUAGGUAGUAGUGUGGAUUUGGGGUAAUGUGGGUUGGGUGUAUGUUUUUAUAGAAAUAGUUUAUUAAUUAAUAAAGAUAAUCCAUGGGGUUAAUUCUAUUUUCAAUUGGUUGGGUUUAAGCUUGUACCUUGUGGGCUGCUGGCUGGGGUGGGGAGUUUAGUUGUUCACUGCAGGUUUAUUUCAGGGUUUGUAGUGGUUUAGUCUUGAUUUUGUAAGCAUUUCCAACCUUUUCUUACAUAAUAUAUUGUGUGGCUUUGUAGUGUAUUCGGUAGUUAAUUUGCAUGUUUUGCUGUGUUUUGGUUGCAGUAUUACCCCUGUAAGUGAGCAGCUACUCCUCUAAUCCUCCCGUUUGUCUCAUGUGUAUUUGUGUUAAUAAACCUAUCAUUUGUU